GACCUAGCAGAGCCGGCGCCGCCUCGGGGCAACCCGAGCCGCGGUCCGGCGCCUGGAAUGAGAGCAACCCAAACCCCUCACCGAGGAUCCGUCGGAGGGAAAGUCUGGUGCCAGCAGCCGCGGUAAUUCCAGCUCCAAGAGUGUAUAUUAAAGUUGUUGCGGUUAAAAAGCUCGUAGUUGAAUUUCUGAAAAUAAUCUUGUGAUUGAUUUAACCGUCAUGAACAAAAUUGUUUACAUACUUGAUAGAUGGAAACAUUUAUCUUAAUGACUUUGAAAAAAUUAGAGUGUUCAAAGCAUGAUUCACAUUUGAAUAAUACAGCAUGGGAUAAUAAAUAGGAUUUUUCUUAUAUUUUGUUGGUUUUAUAUAAGUUAAAUAUGAUUAAUAGGAUAGUUGGGGCACUUGUAUUCAAUAGUCAGAGGUGAAAUUCUAGGAUUUAUUGAAGACAAACUUCAG
RNAcentral lists this ribosomal RNA (454 nucleotides) under uncultured eukaryote. RNAcentral describes it as "bacterial SSU rRNA". It matches the Rfam family "Eukaryotic small subunit ribosomal RNA", at positions 474 to 945 of the family's 1831-position model. The record is from RNAcentral.